GAUGAACGCUGGCGGCGUGCUUAACACAUGCAAGUCGAACGGUGAAGCAGGAGCUUGCUCUUGUGGAUCAGUGGCGAACGGGUGAGUAACACGUGAGCAACCUGCCCCUGACUCUGGGAUAAGCGCUGGAAACGGCGUCUAAUACUGGAUAUGUGAUGUGACCGCAUGGUCUGCAUCUGGAAAGAAUUUCGGUUGGGGAUGGGCUCGCGGCCUAUCAGCUUGUUGGUGAGGUAAUGGCUCACCAAGGCGUCGACGGGUAGCCGGCCUGAGAGGGCGACCGGCAACACAGGGACUGAGACACGGCCCAGACUCCUACGGGAGGCAGAAGGGGGGAAUAUUGCACAAUGGGCGGGAGCCUGAUGCAGCAACGCCGCGUGGGGGAUGACGGACUUCGGGUUGUAAACAUCUUUUAGCAGGGAAGAAGCGAAAGUGACGGUACCUGCAGAAAAAGCACCGGCUAACUACGUGCCAGCAGCCGCCGUAA
This 484-nucleotide ribosomal RNA is filed under the name uncultured bacterium. RNAcentral describes it as "partial 16S ribosomal RNA". It matches the Rfam family "Bacterial small subunit ribosomal RNA", at positions 28 to 523 of the family's 1533-position model. The record is from RNAcentral.